AAUCACUAACCACACAGCCAGG
RNAcentral lists this non-coding RNA (22 nucleotides) under Callorhinchus milii (elephant shark). The record is from RNAcentral. RNAcentral also lists the same sequence under 10 other names. Lineage: Eukaryota; Metazoa; Chordata; Chondrichthyes; Chimaeriformes; Callorhinchidae.